Molecule: ribosomal RNA, 450 nt
Filed under: uncultured bacterium
Lineage: Bacteria
Description: partial 16S ribosomal RNA
Rfam family: Bacterial small subunit ribosomal RNA
Source: RNAcentral
GUGGGGAAUAUUCCGCAAUGGACGAAAGUCUGACGGAGCAACGCCGCGUGAGUGAUGAAGGUUUUCGGACUGUAAAGCUCUGUUGUUUAGGACGAAAGUGCCUGUUGCAAACAGUUACAGGUAUUGACGGCACUAAACGAGGAAGCCACGGCUAACUACGUGCCAGCAGCCGCGGUAAUACGUAGGUGGCAAGCGUUGUCCGGAAUUAUUGGGCGUAAAGAGCAUGUAGGCGGGAAUCUAAGUCUGUUGUGAAAAUGCGGGGCUCAACCCCGUAUUGCGAUGGAAACUGGGUUUCUUGAGUGCAGGAGAGGAAAGGGGAAUUCCCAGUGUAGCGGUGAAAUGCGUAGAUAUUGGGAGGAACACCAGUGGCGAAGGCGCCUUUCUGGACUGUGUCUGACGCUGAGAUGCGAAAGCCAGGGUAGCGAACGGGAUUAGAAACCCGGGUAGUCC